AGUAGCUCAGCUGGAUAGAGCAUCCGCCUUCUAAGCGGACGGUCGGGGGUUCGAAUCCCUCCU
RNAcentral lists this transfer RNA (63 nucleotides) under Enterococcus avium. It matches the Rfam family "tRNA", at positions 6 to 65 of the family's 71-position model. From Rfam's summary of the family: Transfer RNA (tRNA) molecules are approximately 80 nucleotides in length. Their secondary structure includes four short double-helical elements and three loops (D, anti-codon, and T loops). Further hydrogen bonds mediate the characteristic L-shaped molecular structure. tRNAs have two regions of fundamental functional importance: the anti-codon, which is responsible for specific mRNA codon recognition, and the 3' end, to which the tRNAs corresponding amino acid is attached (by aminoacyl-tRNA synthetases). tRNAs cope with the degeneracy of the genetic code in two manners: having more than one tRNA (with a specific anti-codon) for a particular amino acid; and 'wobble' base-pairing, i.e. permitting non-standard base-pairing at the 3rd anti-codon position. RNAcentral also lists the same sequence under 2 other names. Lineage: Bacteria; Bacillati; Bacillota; Bacilli; Lactobacillales; Enterococcaceae. The record is from RNAcentral.